UGCCCGGUGGUGCAAUGGUAGCACAGGGGCCUUUGGAGCCUCUGAUCAUGGUUCGAAUCCAUGCCGGGCAGCCA
This 74-nucleotide transfer RNA is filed under the name Candidatus Methylacidithermus pantelleriae. RNAcentral's name for it is "Methylacidiphilaceae bacterium PQ17 tRNA-Gln". It matches the Rfam family "tRNA". From Rfam's summary of the family: Transfer RNA (tRNA) molecules are approximately 80 nucleotides in length. Their secondary structure includes four short double-helical elements and three loops (D, anti-codon, and T loops). Further hydrogen bonds mediate the characteristic L-shaped molecular structure. tRNAs have two regions of fundamental functional importance: the anti-codon, which is responsible for specific mRNA codon recognition, and the 3' end, to which the tRNAs corresponding amino acid is attached (by aminoacyl-tRNA synthetases). tRNAs cope with the degeneracy of the genetic code in two manners: having more than one tRNA (with a specific anti-codon) for a particular amino acid; and 'wobble' base-pairing, i.e. permitting non-standard base-pairing at the 3rd anti-codon position. The record is from RNAcentral. Lineage: Bacteria; Pseudomonadati; Verrucomicrobiota; Methylacidiphilae; Methylacidiphilales; Methylacidiphilaceae.